Trichophyton equinum CBS 127.97 is the source of this 120-nucleotide non-coding RNA. NCBI's taxonomy places the organism in Eukaryota, Fungi, Ascomycota, Eurotiomycetes, Onygenales, Arthrodermataceae. The record is from Rfam.
ACAUACGACCACAGGAAGUGGAAAACAGAGCUUCCCGUCCGCUCAGCUGUACUUAAGCCACUUGCCGGUCGGUUAGUAGUUGGGUGGGUGACCACCAGCGAAUCUCGACUGUUGUUGGCC